ACUCCAAUGGCCUAAUGGUUAGAGCUUCCGCUUUGGAUGCGGGAGGUCGUGGGUUCGAUCUCGUGUCGAGUC
This is a non-coding RNA of Potamilus streckersoni, 72 nucleotides long. The record is from the annotation of a GenBank genome assembly. Lineage: Eukaryota; Metazoa; Mollusca; Bivalvia; Unionida; Unionidae.